This 469-nucleotide ribosomal RNA is filed under the name Tissierella sp. canine oral taxon 029. RNAcentral's name for it is "bacterial SSU rRNA". It matches the Rfam family "Bacterial small subunit ribosomal RNA", at positions 9 to 459 of the family's 1533-position model. Lineage: Bacteria; Bacillati; Bacillota; Tissierellia; Tissierellales; Tissierellaceae. The record is from RNAcentral.
GAGUUUGAUUAUGGCUCAGGACAAACGCUGGCGGCGUGCUUAACACAUGCAAGUCGAACGAUGAAACGGAACGGAAAUUUUCGGAUGGAAGUUCUGUGGAUUAGUGGCGGACGGGUGAGUAAUGCAUGAAGAACCUGCCUUUCACAUAGGAAUAGCCUCGGGAAACCGGGAUUAAUACCAAAUGACACUCCGAGAUCGCAUGGUUUUGGGGUUAAAGAUUUUAUCGGUGAAAGAUGGCUUCAUGUCCCAUUAGCUGGUUGGUGAGGUAACGGCUCACCAAGGCGACGAUGGGUAGCCGGCCUGAGAGGGUGAACGGCCACAUUGGAACUGAGACACGGUCCAAACUCCUACGGGAGGCAGCAGUGGGGAAUAUUGCACAAUGGAGGAAACUCUGAUGCAGCGACGCCGCGUGAGCGAUGAAGGUCUUCGGAUCGUAAAGCUCUGUCCCUAAGGGACGAUAAUGACCGUA